GGAGGAUCAGAUGCCAGAAAGUCAGGAGACUGAAGAGUAAAGACGUGGAAAUCCCUGUCUAGACCCUGGUACUGUGGAGAGUUUUGUCCUUGGGAUGGACCUGGCUCCUGCCCUGUAGGCAAUGACCACAGCAGCAUGUCCAGCCUUCCACUGAUGCAGGCGUGUCUGUCUUUUCUCAGAAUAUGAAGAGUGCAAAGACCUCAUAAAAUCUAUGCUGAGGAAUGAGCGACAGUUCAAGGAGGAGAAGCUUGCAGAGCAGCUGAAGCAAGCUGAGGAGCUCAGGCAAUAUAAAGUCCUGGUUCACUCUCAGGAACGAGAGCUGACCCAGUUAAGGGAGAAGUUACGGGAAGGGAGAGAUGCCUCCCGCUCAUUGAAUGAGCAUCUCCAGGCCCUCCUCACUCCGGAUGAGCCGGACAAGUCCCAGGGGCAGGACCUCCAAGAACAGCUGGCUGAGGGGUGUAGACUGGCACAGCACCUUGUCCAAAAGCUCAGCCCAGAAAAUGAUAACGAUGACGAUGAAGAUGUUCAAGUUGAGGUGGCUGAGAAAGUGCAGAAAUCGUC
This 561-nucleotide long non-coding RNA is filed under the name Homo sapiens (human). Its description in RNAcentral is "non-protein coding lnc-GJA5-4:8". Lineage: Eukaryota; Metazoa; Chordata; Mammalia; Primates; Hominidae. The record is from RNAcentral.